RNAcentral lists this ribosomal RNA (333 nucleotides) under Eisenia andrei. Its description in RNAcentral is "partial 16S ribosomal RNA". It matches the Rfam family "Bacterial large subunit ribosomal RNA", at positions 1955 to 2524 of the family's 2925-position model. The record is from RNAcentral. Lineage: Eukaryota; Metazoa; Annelida; Clitellata; Crassiclitellata; Lumbricidae.
GGUAGCAUAAUCACUUGCCCAUUAAUUGUGGGCUAGAAUGAAAGGACUAACGAAAUAAAAACUGUCUCUAUAAGUGGCAUAAAAAUUAAUCUCUAACUGAAGAUUGUUAGAUACCGUUGAAGGACAAGAAGACCCUAUAGAGCUUUAUUUUAAUAAAUAACUAUAAUUUAUAUAAAUUCGGUUGGGGCGACCAGGGAAAUUAAAUAUCAUCCCUUAAUAGCAGAUAACUCAAUCACACACUUGACCCUUUACCAAAGAUCAUCAAAACAAGCUACCUUAGGGAUAACAGGCUAAUCCCACUAAAGAGUCCUUAUCAAUAAUAGGGUUUGGCAC